Bos mutus (wild yak) is the source of this 1686-nucleotide long non-coding RNA. The record is from Ensembl. NCBI's taxonomy places the organism in Eukaryota, Metazoa, Chordata, Mammalia, Artiodactyla, Bovidae.
CUUCCGCCUCACCUGGCACCUGGCUGGGUCGGAGGGAACCGGGCCGGGGGUGCGUGACACUCCUCCGAGCCCUGGGGCCCCACGCACCCAGAGUCGGGAGGAAGCCGACCCGCUCCUGGAUCUUAGGGGCUCCAGGCGGCUGAGUCAGGUGCCCGGGCCGACCUUGGGCGGCGGAGGCCACGCUUUGAGAGGAGCUACCGCGGAAUCGCCCUGGAGGGCGGGAGCGGCCGCCGCCGGAGGCUGCCAGCCCCGUGCUGGCCGAGCAGCGGGGGAGAGGUGCACGUGGUUCCCUCGGGCCCUGCCAGGCCGCUGCUCUCCUCCGCCUUCUCCCCUAGCCCCCACCGGUGCUUUUCUGCUUUUCCUGACCAGCAGUUUUGCUGGGAGCCUCAGUUCAACCACUGUGGUCUCCAAGUCACUGUGCCCAGGAGGUCAGCGCCUCCAUCUCUGGGACUGAAACUGUAACUUUUUGGCUCGAGUCUGUUCUCUGGUCUUCUUACUUAUUCUCUGCAGGCUCAGGGCCCAGGGCUUGGUCCAGGCCACACAGGCCUGAGGCUCCUGCAGGCUGUGGGUGGGUGGGGGGACACUGACAGGGCUUGGGAUUUCUUCUCUAGUUGAGGACAGACGGCCUCCGGAUUGGUAAGAGCUGGGGGCUGUGUUGCUGCGCGCCCUCAACCUGCCCUCCCCCUCAGUGCCGGCCUGAGAUGCCACAGGUGGGGGUAGCCUGUGAGACCCUUCUAGGCUGAGGCCCUUUCGGGCAGCCUCCUGCUGGGAGCAUGUUGACACUCUGAGACUGGUCCUGUGAGGACCACAAGCGCCUCCAGGGAGAGGGGUGCGUACGGCCGUGGGGGCGCGUCCCAGGGCCCACUGCGCUGUGACCCUGCCUUGUGACGUCAGCCCUGGUCCUCAGCCGCCCUGCGCCCCCCGCCCUGACACCCAGGCAGGAAGCUCCCACUCUCUUACCUGGAGAAGCUUGUGCUUUCUCCAUGCACCUUUGCCGGGGAGUGGGGGAGGAAGCAUGCGGUGUGUGCAGGGUCCAGAUGCUGGGAGAGACGGAAGAGACAAGGGGCCGCAGCCUGCCAGGUCCCGGUCGGGGGUGCUGGUGCUCGCCCUGCCUCUGCAGCCCCGUCUGGCAGGGGGUCAGCAGGAAGGCAGACUGUGCUGGUCGUGCCAUCCCCCCUAACCUCUGAAGUCACCCCUUCCCUGAGCCGCUCCCCUCCCAGCCUCAGGGGCGAGCCCCCACUGGGAGGCCAGAGCACCUUCAGGUCUCCCACAUGGGGACCCCUAGCCUUGCUCCUGAAACUUCUUGGGGGGGGGGACCCACCAAAAUCACUCCACCCAGACUUCCGGUCCACCCUCCCUCAGCCAGGCUUGCCAGGGAAGAAGGAGUCUGAGCCACUGGGGCGCUCUGUGCCUGGCACACCACGGGUGCCCCAAGCGUCUGCCCCUGACUGGGCUUGGGUCUGGGCGCUGCCCAUGGUGGUGAACAGGCUGUGUGAGUCUGGGCCUCUGAUGAGCUCUCUCCCUCUGCGCCAGAGAGUAAGACCUGCUGUCCGGGGAAAAGAGGAAAGGGCACCCUGUGACCUGCUGAUGGUGCAGGGGAGGAGGCUUGGGAGCUGCACUGCCUUGUGGGCUUCGGGCUCAGACACGCGUACAGUUCUGAUGCUGCCAUCCGCUCACCAUGUGUGA